GAUGAACGCUGGCGGCGUGCCUAAUACAUGCAAGUCGAGCGAACGGACGAGGAGCUUGCUCCUCUGACGUUAGCGGCGGACGGGUGAGUAACACGUGGAUAACCUACCUAUAAGACUGGGAUAACUUCGGGAACCCGGAGCUAAUACCGGAUAAUAUAUUGAACCGCAUGGUUCAAUAGUGAAAGACGGUUUUGCUGUCACUUAUAGAUGGAUCCGCGCCGCAUUAGCUAGUUGGUAAGGUAACGGCUUACCAAGGCAACGAUGCGUAGCCGACCUGAGAGGGUGAUCGGCCACACUGGAACUGAGACACGGUCCAGACUCCUACGGGAGGCAGCAGUAGGGAAUCUUCCGCAAUGGGCGAAAGCCUGACGGAGCAACGCCGCGUGAGUGAUGAAGGUCUUCGGAUCGUAAAACUCUGUUAUUAGGGAAGAACAAAUGUGUAAGUAACUAUGCACGUCUUGACGGUACCUAAUCAGAAAGCCACGGCUAACUACGUG
RNAcentral lists this ribosomal RNA (497 nucleotides) under uncultured bacterium. RNAcentral's name for it is "partial 16S ribosomal RNA". It matches the Rfam family "Bacterial small subunit ribosomal RNA", at positions 28 to 507 of the family's 1533-position model. The record is from RNAcentral.